This 137-nucleotide ribosomal RNA is filed under the name uncultured eukaryote. RNAcentral's name for it is "partial 18S ribosomal RNA". It matches the Rfam family "Eukaryotic small subunit ribosomal RNA", at positions 1299 to 1458 of the family's 1831-position model. The record is from RNAcentral.
UGGUGGAGUGAUUUGUCUGCUUAAUUGCGAUAACGAACGAGACCUUAACCUGCUAAAUAGCCCGUAUUGCUUUGGCAGUACGCUGGCUUCUUAGAGGGACUAUCGGCUCAAGCCGAUGGAAGUUUGAGGCAAUAGCA